CAACACAUCCCUUCUCCCAAGUUUUUGUUUUUGUUUUGAAGUCAUAGAUUAGAUCAUAAAAGGUUUGGUAAUCAGGAACUCAGAGUUUGAGCUGAAAUUUAAAUUUACAAGUCUAAUAUAGACUAUAUAGGACAUAAAGAGGAGUGAGAAAUAAAGUUUUGUUUAGGAAAUGGUGGUUUGGAGGAAGAUUGGUUUGUGUGAGACUGAGAGAUUGUCAAUGUUUCUUAAAAGUCCAUUCAGAAUUAUUUAUGUAAAGAGUUCUUUGUAAAUAUGCAGUUGAUGCCUUUCAUGGAUGAUAAAGCGAGGAAGUUGCUUUGCUGAUGCAACAGGGAGGAAUUUGGGAGGAUUAUUUGAAGUGGAUAGGAUUAUUUAGUCCUACAAAUUUAGAGAACUGUAUUGGAUAACGCAAGUGCAAAGUUUUUCUUUUGUUAUUUUAUGUUUCCAGUUAAAAACCUGUAAUCUUUUUUAGUACAUCCCCACACCUCAAUCCUCACUGAAACCACCAAAUCAAACCCAAGCUGCCCC
RNAcentral lists this long non-coding RNA (525 nucleotides) under Prunus persica (peach). RNAcentral's name for it is "long non-coding RNA (PPER_LNC007267)". Lineage: Eukaryota; Viridiplantae; Streptophyta; Magnoliopsida; Rosales; Rosaceae. The record is from RNAcentral.